UGUGGUGGUGUAGAAGCAAUUACAUGGAGGCUGGGUUGGAGCAAUAGUAGAAGGUACAGAUUGGAGCUGUGAGUGCAAUAAUACGUGCACAGUUCAACCUUUGAUGCCUAACAACAAUGAAAAUGGUUGGGUGUAGAAGAGAUAGAUAUAACCAAAGGUUUUAUGUAGCAAACAUAUAUAGCUGGAUGUUGGAGACAGGAUUGUGAAUAAUUAAGGUUAUAGUGCAUAUUAGUUGAGAUGCAGGUGCUGAAUGCAAAUCAAUCAUCGUCAAUCUGACCAAAGUGAGACAUUCACUAGUCCAUGAAGCUUAUAUGACUGCCAAUAUAAACAAAUAUAGAUUCCUCUUCCUUUGAACACUAGCAUAGGCAUAUAAAGUCUUGGAGGUGCUAUGAAAAUAUGAGAAAUUUUUUCUGCAAAGAUUCACCAUACUCCUUUCUCCUGUAACAGAAGCUCUGAUUGACUAUGAUUCUAAAUUCCAGCAAUAUAAUACAACCAUAGACAGAUCUUUCCAGCUGCUUGAUCCCACUGCUGCACUCCUUCCUUGGCUACCCUCCAUAUGAAUUGUCAUACCUCUUUGCCAUGUUCCCUGCAAGAUGAGUAGACACCUUUUCCAGUUUUUCAAACACAAGAGAUGUAAUCGAAAUUAAGUUUUCUUGAGUCCAGAAAAACAUAAUCAUAUUAUAAACCAUAAGAUUCUAACCUUGUAUUUUCUUGAUAGUUACUGAUGUACCUAUUUCUGUUUAGAGAACUAGAAUUAUGAAUUCUUAUAUUACAGGCUCAACAAUCCUGUAGCCACCAUGAGCGUUGCUUGAUUCGAAGAACCUAAUCCAAC
This 832-nucleotide long non-coding RNA is filed under the name Phaseolus vulgaris (common bean). RNAcentral describes it as "long non-coding RNA (PVUL_LNC004539)". The record is from RNAcentral. Lineage: Eukaryota; Viridiplantae; Streptophyta; Magnoliopsida; Fabales; Fabaceae.